UGCCUACGGGAGGCAGCAGUGGGGGAUAUUGCACAAUGGGGGGAACCCUGAUGCAGCGACGCCGCGUGGGUGAAGAAGCGCCUCGGCGCGUAAAGCCCUGUCAGCAGGGAAGAAAAUGACGGUACCUGAAGAAGAAGCCCCGGCUAACUACGUGCCAGCAGCCGCGGUAAUACGUAGGGGGCAAGCGUUAUCCGGAUUUACUGGGUGUAAAGGGAGCGUAGACGGCAUUGCAAGUCUGAUGUGAAAGAUUGGGGCUCAACCCCAGGCCUGCAUUGGAAACUGUAAAGCUGGAGUACAGGAGAGGU
This 305-nucleotide ribosomal RNA is filed under the name uncultured bacterium. RNAcentral describes it as "bacterial SSU rRNA". It matches the Rfam family "Bacterial small subunit ribosomal RNA", at positions 335 to 658 of the family's 1533-position model. The record is from RNAcentral.